UACGUAGGUGGCAAGCGUUGUCCGGAUUUACUGGGCGUAAAGAGCGCGCAGGCGGUCGUUCAAGUCGCGUGUGAAAGCCCCCGGCUCAACUGGGGAGGGUCACGCGAUACUGAUCGACUCGAAGGCAGGAGAGGGUAGUGGAAUUCCCGGUGUAGUGGUGAAAUGCGUAGAUAUCGGGAGGAACACCUAUGGCGAAGGCAGCUCGCUGGGACGUUACUGACGUUGAGACGCGAAAGCGUGGGGAGCAAACAGG
RNAcentral lists this ribosomal RNA (253 nucleotides) under uncultured bacterium. RNAcentral describes it as "partial 16S ribosomal RNA". It matches the Rfam family "Bacterial small subunit ribosomal RNA", at positions 524 to 776 of the family's 1533-position model. The record is from RNAcentral.